Long non-coding RNA from Clupea harengus (Atlantic herring), 1172 nucleotides. RefSeq lists it as uncharacterized. Lineage: Eukaryota; Metazoa; Chordata; Actinopteri; Clupeiformes; Clupeidae. The record is from RefSeq and is a predicted model, not a curated record.
CAGAUGCUGCUUUGGAGGAUCUGUCUGACAGGGCACAUGAUGUAGCCUAGGACACUGUUCAGAUGUUCUUCCUUAACCACAAGAGCAGCAAUGUUAUUCAUGUUUUUUCCUGAAUGUACACUCUAAAAAGUAAUUCAGGGGACAUAUUAUUACCACCACUUAAUUAAAUGCAUGGUUGCAAAAUAAAAAUUCUAAUUUAUUGAUUUAGAUAAACCUUUUAAGUUGCAAACAUUAUUUUAAUGAGUUGUGUUGACAUAAUAAUGUUGGUAAUUACAUCAACUUAAUAUUGUUUGUAAUUUAAACUUAAAUUUCUGCAUUAAUUGAUUUAAAACUAAAUUUAAGUUGUAGUAACUUAAUGAAAUUGGCUUGAUAACUUAAUUUUUCUCCACCUUGAGUUCAGGAUUUCAAGUCUCCUCCCCUACCCACUUAACAUUCCUGGACAAAUUCAGACAGUUAAGGCUAUGUAAGAGGACCUGUAGGCUGAACAAAUAUGAUACAAAGGACAUUUUCAAGAAGCCGAAUGCAUACUCCUAACUCACUGCAAGACUUUAAAGAAGACCUGCUAAAGAGAUUGAUUAAUGUCGCAACCAGCCCAUUAUGUUAUGUUAUGGUAGGUUGUUGUGCUGUGCCUUGUCCUAAGAAUUUCAGUGCCCAGUCUGACCCUGUGUCAUUCUGUGCCUCUGGCAAUAAAAGACUUGUAACUUGUAAAUACAUAACUGCAACUCAAAGUAAAAAAAGUGAAUUGCCUAACAAUUUUGUUGUUGAAAUAAUUAAUUUGGAGCAACUUAAUUUUUUAAACGGUUGUCAACUUAAAAACUUGUGUUCAUAAUUAUGGUAAUUAAGUACAUGAAACUUAAAAAUUCCUUUUAAAUAAUGUGGAAAAACUAGUUGGAACAACUUAAUUUUCAUGAGUAAUCAACUUAAAAACGUUUGUUUAUGCUACCAAUUAUUAAGUUAGUGGUAGUUAAAAAUACUUUUGGUUGUAGAGGAAAAGCUAAUUCCCCUAACUCAAUUUAGUUCAUUGGUUGAACAUAAUUUCAUUAGAAGUUGUCAUAACUCAAAAAAGAUUGAUGCAAACUGUUGCGUAAAUUUUUUAUGUUGAGCCAACGCAUUUGUUUUUAGAGUGUAAUAAAAGGAAAAUACUCCAUACUGUAAAUAAAAUGUCAUCUCAC